UUCUAUGUCCUUGGCUAGAGAUUUUGCAUUAACUCUGUGAUUAAGCUGAAUUAGAAUUGUUGCAUGGAUACUUUGUGGUAAAGAAAUUAUCUUUUUAUUAAGUUUAUGAGAGAUUUGAACCAGGCAUGCUGAGUAAAUGUUAUUUUUCUCUUGUUAUUCCCAUGAAACAAUAUAAUAGCCAAUCAGGAUGCAUCAAAGUCAUUUUCCAAUUGUAUAUGGUUUUGGCAACAACAAUUAUAGCGUCUGAGCUCAAAUAGUGUUGUAAUUAAGAGCAAAACAACUACUAGAGACAAGCAAAUAAUCAAGUUUCAGAAGAAAAAUAUGGCUCUUGUUUAUUUAAAUUUUUUAGAUGGA
Molecule: unclassified non-coding RNA, 354 nt
Filed under: Hevea brasiliensis (rubber tree)
Lineage: Eukaryota; Viridiplantae; Streptophyta; Magnoliopsida; Malpighiales; Euphorbiaceae
Source: RNAcentral